RNAcentral lists this ribosomal RNA (368 nucleotides) under uncultured organism. RNAcentral describes it as "bacterial SSU rRNA". It matches the Rfam family "Bacterial small subunit ribosomal RNA", at positions 526 to 897 of the family's 1533-position model. The record is from RNAcentral.
CGGAGGAUCCAAGCGUUGUCCGGAUUUAUUGGGUUUAAAGGUGCGUAGGCGGAUCUUUAAGUCAGUGGUGAAAUCCUGCAGCUUAACUGUAGAACAGCCAUUGAAACUGAGGAUCUUGAAUUUGGUUAAAGUAGGCGGAAUGUAUCAUGUAGCGGUGAAAUGCUUAGAUAUGAUACAGAACACCGAUAGCGAAGGCAGCUUGCUGAACCAAUAUUGACGCUGAGGCACGAAAGCGUGGGGAGCGAACAGGAUUAGAUACCCUGGUAGUCCACGCCCUAAACGUUGAUUACUCGUUGUUGGCGAUAUACUGUCAGCGACCAAGCUAAAGCGUUAAGUAAUCCACCUGGGAAGUACGACCGCAAGGUUGA